Girardinichthys multiradiatus is the source of this 1335-nucleotide long non-coding RNA. RefSeq lists it as uncharacterized. Lineage: Eukaryota; Metazoa; Chordata; Actinopteri; Cyprinodontiformes; Goodeidae. The transcript has 2 exons. The record is from RefSeq and is a predicted model, not a curated record.
ACCAGUGAUUUUGAAAACCUAAGCUCUGGAUCUAUGUCACAGUGUAGUGACUAUGUCUUUGGAAAUGACUCUGGAUGAUCAAGCCUAUCUAUGCUUUGUGGAUUUCAUAUCUUAUCUCCUGUCUUCGUUUGGAUUCACAUCAAGAUGGCAGGUUCUUGCUCCCGUUGUCUCCUGGACCAAACCGUAAGCGGAACCUGUCCAUCCUCCAACGUAAACCCCUGCACACUGAACUCAUUCCCGUCUGCUCGGAGCUCACACUGAACAGCACCUAAGGAACCUCCUACAGACUCACCUUUGUCUAACCUGGAUCCUGAAUCUCUCUACCCCUGGCGACCUGACCACAGCUACUUAUUGGAAUUUUGACCAUUACGUUCCUGAUUAUCUUCCUUUUAAAUAAAUAACCUUUUACUGGUUUUGUUCUUCGGAGUGUUUCUCUGUAUGUGGGUCAGAUCUAUUGCAAAAACAAUGACACCGUGUAGCUGAUGUCUUUACAGACAAAGAAGCAAAGUUAAAACCAAGGUGUAUUUUGGUUUGUUCACCAGAUGCAAGUGCAGGAGAGGGUGAGGUAUCAAAUGAAAAAAAAGAUAAAUAAAUCGUAAAGUAUUUUUAUAGAAUAUACCCGCCAUUUGCCCAAAAAAGAAGGCUGUAAUUCCAGGCAAUGCAAUUCUGAUAACAUACAGCAAGAGUUGAUUUUUAUAGCUAGAAACUUACCACAAAUAACAAAAUGUUAGUGAAAAAUGUUCUUUGUAAGAUCUUGUCAUGUUGAAUACCUUGCAUAGUAUUUGAUCCAUCCUACUGUUAAUUUCCAUACACCUUUCUAAUGGCAGGUCACACUGAGAAAACCCAGGCAUUUUUCCAGUAAUGCGUUCUAGCUCUUUUGGAGUAUCCUUUUGGAGUCCUUUUGGGAAAUUCUCUCAAGUUACUAUGACACAUGUAAUUUGACAAAUUCACUUCUCCCUGAAGGCCGUCUUAUCACACCAAACCUGAGAAACACUCUCAUUAUUGCAGACAAACCCCAAAUUCAUCUCUAACUCUGGAAAACUGUUUUUUUUAUUUUUAUUUGUUGAAUGCAUGUUUUUAUUAUCUUGUAUACCAAGAUGUAGCUCUAAAGUUAGCCCAAGUCCACACCUGAUUGGUUGAUCAGGCUUUUGAGAGAAGCUCAUAAGCUGCUGGUAAUUCCUAGACUUUAACUGUUUCAUUUAGUAUACUGAACAUUCAUUCCCUUGUCACAAAACCUUUCCUUUUAGUCUGUUGUGUGUAAAUUAAUAAGUAUUAUUUCUCCCUGUUUGUCAAUCAUAUUUGUUUAGUUUGGUCAAUAAAUUCAAGUGUAACUCC